AAAACUGUCAGUGGCUGCAAAUCAAUGUGGAAAUGACAAAGAGAGCCAUGGAGGGAAACCCCCUAGAAAGACUGAACUGGACCCUAAAGGAUCAGAGAGAGGAAGAAGCUGGAAGUAAUGCAAAGAGUCCCAAAGUGAGAAGAUUCCAGUUUUAAGUCCUGGUUCUGAUCCACAUCUGCCUUAGGCCUUGGAUAAUCCCUUAAGUGCUAAAGCAGGAAGAAGUUAACCAAAGAAAAGUGGAACCAAGAACGUGGGCAGAGGCCAACUAAUGCCCUUUUGAAUGCCUCUACAGCCAAAGAGCCUCCUAGUGAUUAUAUGAUUAUUCAACAUGAACCAGUUAAAGAAUGUCUACACAUGUUCCAAAGCCUUUCCAACAUACUUCCACUAUGUGUCUUUCAGAAGUUGGCUUCCCAAACAAACCCUUCUCUGUGGGUAAUCAGAUGCAGUCUGAGCAGCCUCUUUGGACCUCCAUUUCCUCAUCUAUAAAGAGAGAAGAUUGGGCCAGAUGAUAUCUAAUGACCGUUCCAGCUCUAAAUCCUUGAUCUUGAUGAAGUGGGAAGAGCAUCAGCCUCUGGAAUCAGACUAUCUGAGUUCAUACCCCACUUCUGACACUACCUGUGCGACUUCGUGUGACCUUCCUCUGUCCCAGUUUACAUAUGCAUAAAAUAAGGGAUUAAAAUUCAUGGCCUUCUAAGACCCUUUGAAUGCCACC
Molecule: long non-coding RNA, 712 nt
Filed under: Monodelphis domestica (gray short-tailed opossum)
Lineage: Eukaryota; Metazoa; Chordata; Mammalia; Didelphimorphia; Didelphidae
Description: lncRNA (ENSMODG00000035188.2)
Source: RNAcentral